Tigriopus californicus is the source of this 1250-nucleotide long non-coding RNA. RefSeq lists it as uncharacterized. The record is from RefSeq and is a predicted model, not a curated record. The transcript has 2 exons. Lineage: Eukaryota; Metazoa; Arthropoda; Copepoda; Harpacticoida; Harpacticidae.
UGUGACAUGUCAGUUUCAGAUGAGAUGCUCACUGUUUCUUGCUCCUGUUUUCUCGGAAUUGAUGCGUUGGAUCUUGGAUCAGGGCAAGUUUCCACCUUCACUAAAGUUAGGUCACGUUGUUCCAAUUUUUAAAAGGGGGAGAUGAAACGCUCCCAACAACUAUAGGCCGAUUUCUCUCUCCUUGAAUAUUGCCAAGUUGUUCAAGAAGAUAAUGAAGCUUAAACCUGUAGAGUUUUUUGAAGUGCAUGUUGUUCUUCCUCCUAUUAUUGAGGGAUUAUUGAGGGACUAGAGGGACCUGAGUCAGUUGAUGUUGUCCAUCUUGAAUUUGACAAGGCUUUUGAUAAAAUUGAUCAUGGCCUUUUGUUGAAAAGACUUCUGGCAUGUCAUUUGCAUUGCUGCCAUUGGUUUCUCCCUUUAAAAGUGAUAGCACUGUAACAUGAAGAAAUGCUCAAUACCCUAAAACCAUCCUUUAGAAGUUGACUGUCUUUCAGACACAUUGCAAUUCAAGACUUGAGUUGUAAAUAGAAGGCCAUGUCUAAAUGCAUUUCCUAAGUAUUUUUGGUUUAAUGUAUCACACAAUGUAGCGGAAAUCAACGUCAAACAUGAUGAAUCAUUACCAAACAGAUUUCAAGAUAACAUUGGCAAUUUUCAAUGAAUUGCUAGGCAACAUCUAUCUAGGUUGACGAGUGCCGGAGAAACUGAUUCCACAGAUCCUGGUUUGGUCACAAUAAAAGCAACAGCUUCACCGUUUCAACAUCACAAACAGAUCAGCAUUGAACCAACCAAGUAAACUUGACUCUACUCCUGUUCACCAUGAUCAAGUCCUUCAUCUUUCCCGUCCUUCUGGCCUUGAGUGGGUUUGCCCUCCUCUCCAUAUCCAUGGCCACGCCACUAAUCCGACGAUCCCAUCCCGGAGGAAGCCCAGAAGUAUGUUCACACGGAAGUCAAGAUAUCAGAGGGGUGUGAUGAUGAAGAUAACAAUGCUGACAAUGAUGAGGAUGAAGAUGAUGUGCCAGCCGUUCAAGACCGGAUCUUCCCAAGACUUUGGUGCCGUCUGAAGUGCGCCCAAUCUGUGCCGCCAAUCCAAAUGGCACUUGUGUCUGCACCAAAUUCUUCCUUGUCUUUCCCAUCUUCUCAAUCAGAAUUCCUUGCGCUUAGGCCACAUGUCAGGUAAUGCAUGGAGGAAGGACCUGGCUUUUUUCGAAAUAGAUAUGCUUUAUUGUGGUCAAUAAACGAAUGGUGCUUCCCAA